RNAcentral lists this ribosomal RNA (1398 nucleotides) under uncultured bacterium. RNAcentral describes it as "16S ribosomal RNA". It matches the Rfam family "Bacterial small subunit ribosomal RNA". The record is from RNAcentral.
AGAGUUUGAUCCUGGCUCAGGAUGAACGCUAGCUACAGGCUUAACACAUGCAAGUCGAGGGGCAGCAUGGUCUUAGCUUGCUAAGGCCGAUGGCGACCGGCGCACGGGUGAGUAACACGUAUCCAACCUGCCGUCUACUCUUGGACAGCCUUCUGAAAGGAAGAUUAAUACAAGAUGGCAUCAUGAGUCCGCAUGUUCACAUGAUUAAAGGUAUUCCGGUAGACGAUGGGGAUGCGUUCCAUUAGAUAGUAGGCGGGGUAACGGCCCACCUAGUCUUCGAUGGAUAGGGGUUCUGAGAGGAAGGUCCCCCACAUUGGAACUGAGACACGGUCCAAACUCCUACGGGAGGCAGCAGUGAGGAAUAUUGGUCAAUGGGCGAGAGCCUGAACCAGCCAAGUAGCGUGAAGGAUGACUGCCCUAUGGGUUGUAAACUUCUUUUAUAAAGGAAUAAAGUCGGGUAUGCAUACCCGUUUGCAUGUACUUUAUGAAUAAGGAUCGGCUAACUCCGUGCCAGCAGCCGCGGUAAUACGGAGGAUCCGAGCGUUAUCCGGAUUUAUUGGGUUUAAAGGGAGCGUAGAUGGAUGUUUAAGUCAGUUGUGAAAGUUUGCGGCUCAACCGUAAAAUUGCAGUUGAUACUGGAUAUCUUGAGUGCAGUUGAGGCAGGCGGAAUUCGUGGUGUAGCGGUGAAAUGCUUAGAUAUCACGAAGAACUCCGAUUGCGAAGGCAGCCUGCUAAGCUGCAACUGACAUUGAGGCUCGAAAGUGUGGGUAUCAAACAGGAUUAGAUACCCUGGUAGUCCACACGGUAAACGAUGAAUACUCGCUGUUUGCGAUAUACGGCAAGCGGCCAAGCGAAAGCGUUAAGUAUUCCACCUGGGGAGUACGCCGGCAACGGUGAAACUCAAAGGAAUUGACGGGGGCCCGCACAAGCGGAGGAACAUGUGGUUUAAUUCGAUGAUACGCGAGGAACCUUACCCGGGCUUGAAUUGCACUCGAAUAUAGCGGAAACGUUAUAGCUAGCAAUAGCGAGUGUGAAGGUGCUGCAUGGUUGUCGUCAGCUCGUGCCGUGAGGUGUCGGCUUAAGUGCCAUAACGAGCGCAACCCUUGUCUAUAGUUACUAACAGGUGAUGCUGAGGACUCUAUGGAGACUGCCAUCGUAAGAUGUGAGGAAGGUGGGGAUGACGUCAAAUCAGCACGGCCCUUACGUCCGGGGCCACACACGUGUUACAAUGGGGGGUACAGAGGGCCGCUACCACGCAAGUGGAUGCCAAUCCCGAAAGCCUCUCUCAGUUCGGACUGGAGUCUGCAACCCGACUCCACGAAGCUGGAUUCGCUAGUAAUCGCGCAUCAGCCAUGGCGCGGUGAAUACGUUCCCGGGCCUUGCACACACCGCCCGUCA